Molecule: ribosomal RNA, 621 nt
Filed under: uncultured bacterium
Lineage: Bacteria
Description: bacterial SSU rRNA
Rfam family: Bacterial small subunit ribosomal RNA
Source: RNAcentral
CCUACGGGAGGCAGCAGUGGGGAAUUUUGGACAAUGGGCGCAAGCCUGAUCCAGCAAUGCCGCGUGCAGGAUGAAGGCCUUCGGGUUGUAAACUGCUUUUGUACGGAACGAAACGGUCUGCUCUAAUACAGUGGGCUAAUGACGGUACCGUAAGAAUAAGCACCGGCUAACUACGUGCCAGCAGCCGCGGUAAUACGUAGGGUGCGAGCGUUAAUCGGAAUUACUGGGCGUAAAGCGUGCGCAGGCGGUUAUAUAAGACAGAUGUGAAAUCCCCGGGCUCAACCUGGGACCUGCAUUUGUGACUGUAUAGCUAGAGUGCGGCAGAGGGGGAUGGAAUUCCGCGUGUAGCAGUGAAAUGCGUAGAUAUGCGGAGGAACACCGAUGGCGAAGGCAAUCCCCUGGGCCUGCACUGACGCUCAUGCACGAAAGCGUGGGGAGCAAACAGGAUUAGAUACCCUGGUAGUCCACGCCCUAAACGAUGUCAACUGGUUGUUGGGUCUUCACUGACUCAGUAACGAAGCUAACGCGUGAAGUUGACCGCCUGGGGAGUACGGCCGCAAGGUUGAAACGUCAAAGGAAUUGACGGCGNGAGAGNGCGACGGACGACGACGAGGGAGGAGG